Molecule: RNase P RNA, 401 nt
Filed under: Candidatus Peregrinibacteria bacterium RIFOXYA12_FULL_33_12
Lineage: Bacteria; Candidatus Peregrinibacteriota
Also listed under: 2 other names
Description: RNase P RNA component class A
Rfam family: Bacterial RNase P class A
About the family: Ribonuclease P (RNase P) is a ubiquitous endoribonuclease, found in archaea, bacteria and eukarya as well as chloroplasts and mitochondria.
Source: RNAcentral
CUUUUUCAGGAAUGAUCGCCUGUUUGUUUUUUCAAAACAGGAGGAAAGUCCGAACAGCUUUUAAGACGCUGUAAUAGCUAAUGACUAUCAUUUUAGGGUAAUGCCUAAAAUAGGACCAGUGCCACAGAGACAAUACUAACCCUCCGAAACCUUGGUGUAGGAGGGCAAAAGGUGAAAAGCCCUCGCUCAGCAGGGACCCUAUAUCAGUAAUGAUAUUGGAUUGGCAAACUCUACAGGCUGCAAGAUUAUAUGGGAAGACUGGAUUUACGCAACAAAGUCUCAAAUGCGCCAGCUUCAUAAUCGCUUAAGUUCUAUAGUGAUAUAGAAAUUAGAUAGAUGAUCAACCCUUCGAAGCUUUAGCAUAGGAGGAACAGGAUUCGGCUUAUGACUGAAAAAGGGGC